UACGUAGGGUGCAAGCGUUAUUCGGAAUUACUGGGCGUAAAGCGUGCGCAGGCGGUUUUGCAAGACAGAUGUGAAAUCCCCGGGCUCAACCUGGGAAUUGCAUUUGUGACUGCACGGCUAGAGUGUGUCAGAGGGGGGUAGAAUUCCACGUGUAGCAGUGAAAUGCGUAGAGAUGUGGAGGAAUACCGAUGGCGAAGGCAGCCCCCUGGGAUAACACUGACGCUCAUGCACGAAAGCGUGGGGAGCAAACAGG
This 253-nucleotide ribosomal RNA is filed under the name uncultured bacterium. RNAcentral describes it as "partial 16S ribosomal RNA". It matches the Rfam family "Bacterial small subunit ribosomal RNA", at positions 524 to 776 of the family's 1533-position model. The record is from RNAcentral.